Molecule: ribosomal RNA, 431 nt
Filed under: uncultured bacterium
Lineage: Bacteria
Description: partial 16S ribosomal RNA
Rfam family: Bacterial small subunit ribosomal RNA
Source: RNAcentral
AACGAACGCUGGCGGCAGGCUUAACACAUGCAAGUCGAGCGCCCCGCCAGGGGCGCGGCAGACGGGUGAGUAACGCGUGGGAACGUACCUUUUGGUUCGGAACAACUCCGGGAAACUGGAGCUAAUACCGGAUAAGCCCUAACGGGGAAAGAUUUAUCGCCGAAAGAUCGGCCCGCGUCUGAUUAGCUAGUUGGUGAGGUAACGGCUCACCAAGGCGACGAUCAGUAGCUGGUCUGAGAGGAUGAUCAGCCACACUGGGACUGAGACACGGCCCAGACUCCUACGGGAGGCAGCAGUGGGGAAUAUUGGACAAUGGGCGCAAGCCUGAGCCAGCCAUGCCGCGUGAGUGAUGAAGGCCUUAGGGUUGUAAAGCUCUUUUGUCCGGGAAGAUAAUGACUGUACCGGAAGAAUAAGCCCCGGCUAACUUCGUG